Molecule: ribosomal RNA, 463 nt
Filed under: uncultured bacterium
Lineage: Bacteria
Description: partial 16S ribosomal RNA
Rfam family: Bacterial small subunit ribosomal RNA
Source: RNAcentral
CUACGGGGGGCUCCAGUUAAGAAUCUUCCGCAAUGGACGAAAGUCUGACGGAGCGACGCCGCGUGGGUGAAGGAGGCCGAGAGGUUGUAAAGCCCUUUUCUGCUUGAGGAAUAAGCCUGGUAGGGAAUGACCGGGUGAUGACGGUAGGGCAGGAAUAAGCCCCGGCUAAUUACGUGCCAGCAGCCGCGGUAACACGUAUGGGGCGAGCGUUGUUCGGAAUCAUUGGGCGUAAAGGGCGUGUAGGCGGAAAUGCAAGUCUGGUGUGAAAGACCGCAGCUCAACUGCGGGGACGCGCUGGAACUGCAAGUCUUGAGUUCCGGAGGGGGAGUUGGAAUUCCUGGUGUAGGGGUGAAAUCUGUUGAUAUCAGGAAGAACAUCGGUGGCGAAGGCGAACUCCUGGACGAGAGCUGACGCUGAGGCGCGAAAGCGUGGGGAGCGAACAGGAUUAGAUACCCUAGUAGUC